GGGGGAGGUCUGGGACCAAACAUGACUGGACAGUCUGGACUUCGCACUCAUUUUCCGUUGGGCGCUUUUCCAAGCAAUAGCAUCCAGCAUCCCAAUCCUUUCAUCCCACUCAUGCCCGAGUUGAACCGUUCCGGCUCUGCUCGGCUAAUAAAGCGGAUUGGUCUGGCCCGUCACUUUACCCGGUUUUCAAACCAUUGCUUUCUUGCUCUGCAGCCUGUAGUCCCUGUACUACUGCGGAGGCGUCUGCAUACACCUUUCGCCUCCGAAAAAAGAGCGGAGAUCAGUAUAGUAAUGGCGUCUGAGAGGCGAGAGGGGGCCGAACAACAAAAUCAACAACAUCAAACUCCGAGGUUGCAGAUAUACUCCAACCCUUGUUCUGGAGUCUCCCCUUUCUGGAGAGAGAAGUAUGAAAGGGAUGCUAAGAAGUACUGGGAUGUCUUCUACAAGCGACAUCAGGAUAAAUUCUUCAAGGAUCGGCACUACUUGGGCAAGGAAUGGGGUCAUUAUUUCCAUGGAGAAGGAAGGAAAGUUGUUUUGGAGGUAACUCGGUCAGAUUCUCUUAUGAAGGUUGGCUGUGGCGCUGGAAACACUAUCUUUCCUCUGGUUGCAACAUACCCAGAAAUUUUCGUUCAUGCAUGUGAUUUCUCACCACGUGCCAUUGACUUGGUGAAGACACAUAAAGACUUCAUGGAGGAUCAAAUCAAUGCAUUCAUUUGUGAUUUGACAGUUGAUGACUUAAGCAAGCAGAUCCCACCAUCUUCAGUUGACAUUGUAACCAUGAUUUUCAUGUUAUCUGCAGUAUCUCCAGAAAAAAUGCCUCUAGUAUUGCAGAACAUCAGAAAAGUUAUUAAACCAAAUGGUCAUGUGCUGCUCAGAGAUUAUGCUGUGGGAGACCUUGCUCAGGAAAGGUUUACCUGCAAGGAUCAGAAGAUAAGUGAGAAUUUUUAUGUCAGGGGUGAUGGUACUCGUGCCUUUUACUUUUCUGAGGAGUUCUUAACGAGUUUGUUCAAAGAAAGUGGAUUUGAUGUUGAAGACCUUGGUUUAUGCUGCAAACAAGUUGAGAAUCGUUCGCGGGAACUAGUCAUGAAUCGGCGGUGGAUCCAGGCUGUAUUUUGCUUCUCUGAUGGUUCAAAUCCUUCUUAUAUUUUGGAAUCUGGGAAUGGGCCAGAUGUCCUCAAUGCAUCUAAAUUCAACAAUGUCAACAGCAAAAAGGAAUCUGCAAAUGAUCUUGACAUUGACAUUUCUGAUGGUAUUGUUGCUGAAAUGUUUGGUAUUUCACCAUCUAUGGAUGAGAUUGUUGAGGUAGAUCUGAGAGAGUUCAGCUUCAGGAUAAGAAGACUGCCCAAGGAAUACCAGCACACCUGCAAAUCCACAGGCUUGAUGGUGUGGGAGUCAGCUCAUCUGAUGUCUUCUGUGCUAGUGGAAAAUCCUUCUAUUGUCACAGGGAAAACAGUGCUCGAGUUGGGUUCUGGCUGUGCAGGAAUCUGUUCAAUGGUUGCUGUUAGAUCUGCGGACCUAGUAAUUGCUACUGAUGGAGAUAUGCAAGCGCUGGACCUGUUACAACAGAAUGUGGCAUUGAAUCUUGAACCACCAUUGCUCAAUAAACUGGUGACAAGGAGAUUGGAAUGGGGAAAUAGGGAUCACAUUGAGGCCAUCAAGAAAUUAAACCAUAGAGGAUUUGAAGUCAUUAUAGGCACCGAUGUGACAUAUGUGCCUGAAUCUAUCACACCAUUGUUUGCAACUGCAAGGGAGUUGGUUUCUUCUAAUGGAGGUAUCAAGGAGGAUAUGAAACCAGCUCUAAUUCUCUGCCAUGUUUUACGGAGAGUUGAUGAGGUAUCCAUUCUUUCAACUGCAUCUCAAUUCGGUUUCAAGCUUGUUGAUAGAUGGCCCAUUGGGAUAGAAACUGAGCCAUGCCAAAGAAUCAUUGGCUCUUGGUUCUCAAAUACCAAAUUAUUGGCAACUUUCCAAAGUACAGCAUUGAACAUCAUGUACUUCAACAUCUAGGUUGAACAGCAUGUAAGAGAAUCAAAAUGCCGUUUAAACUGGCAGAUCACAAGGCCGCUUCAGGGGGAGAUUAUUGAUUUGAUUGUGGGGAAUUUGCUGAAUCAUGAGCAAUCCACAGAAUAAACUAUUUAGAUUGAUGAAAAAUAUACCACUCCGAACAUUUUCCUUCAACUCAUGGUUUCAAUUAUCACACAGACCGUUAAAUAAAGUCAGUUCAUCUCGUGGAUGAAACUCGCAACUUGGGUUAAAUUUGUUAACAAUGUCUUACUUCAUCUCUGU
Molecule: non-coding RNA, 2283 nt
Organism: Nelumbo nucifera (sacred lotus)
Lineage: Eukaryota; Viridiplantae; Streptophyta; Magnoliopsida; Proteales; Nelumbonaceae
Source: RefSeq, a predicted model, not a curated record